GAUGAACGCUGGCGGCGUGCCUAAUACAUGCAAGUCGAGCGAACAGACGAGGAGCUUGCUCCUCUGACGUUAGCGGCGGACGGGUGAGUAACACGUGGAUAACCUACCUAUAAGACUGGGAUAACUUCGGGAAACCGGAGCUAAUACCGGAUAAUAUAUUGAACCGCAUGGUUCAAUAGUGAAAGACGGUUUUGCUGUCACUUAUCGAUGGAUCCGCGCCGCAUUAGCUAGUUGGUAAGGUAACGGCUUACCAAGGCAACGGUGCGUAGCCGACCUGAUAGGGUGUACGGCCACACUGAAAGUGAGACACGGUCCAGAGUCUGACGGGAGGCAGCAGUAGCUAAGCGACCGCAAUGGGCGGAAGCCUGACGGAGGAACGGCGCGUGGGUGAUGAAGGGCUUCGGGUGGUAAAACUGUGUUAGGGGGGAAGAACAAAUGUGUAAGUAACUAUGCACGUGUGGACGGUACCGAUACAGAAAGCCACGGCUAACUACGU
Molecule: ribosomal RNA, 496 nt
Filed under: uncultured bacterium
Lineage: Bacteria
Description: partial 16S ribosomal RNA
Rfam family: Bacterial small subunit ribosomal RNA
Source: RNAcentral